UAGCUCAGUCCCCUUCUCCCCCGGGAUGUAGGGGUAGGCGGUGAGCUUCUAGGAAGAUUUUCAGCUACAGCCUCUAAGGGCCUGGCUCUAUCCCCAGGGGCACAUCUGGAACAUUCCUCUCCCUCCAAAGAGAUAUCUCAACAGUUGCAGAAGCUUCUGGCAGAGCCAAACCCCAGUGUUCCUGAAAUUGCCUCCAACGGGGCUCUGGUGGUAUCAGGAAUUUCUGAAUUGAAGAGAGUAAGACUUGUUACUGUUUGGUCAGAGAUCCACACCUGGUUGGCCCCUUUCUCCUCCAUCCCUCAUUCCCAACCUCCCACAGGUAGAGGUCAAGGCCAUUUUGGGGUGGAUGGCAAUUGGAGGCUUGGGGAGAAUCUCUAGACAUUCUACAAAAGCCGCUUCCUUUUGCUUAGUUUUGGCCGCGCUGCUCCCACCCUCAGCACAGCCCUGAUGGAGCAAUGUAUCAUCUGAGAUCCAGGGUGAUGGGGGAGACAAGGAAGCAGGGUUCUUGUUCAGAGACAAACAUGGCUUGGGGACACUUUCUAGGACUGGGGUGUGGUGUCUGGAUGGGGUCAGUGUCUUCUGUUCUCAAGAUAUAGACCCAAAGGGCUGUCAGCACCCCUGAACGCGUUGCAUGGACAAAUGCGUCCUCUCCGGGCUUAGCAGGAUACCAUGCUGGCCUUGGAGGAGACUCAGCACCAUUUAGAGCUGUGGUUUCUUUCCUCAUAGACGUCCAGAUGGCCAUCAGACACAGAUUGGGUGUGGAUCCCUGAGCAGGAGGCCAGCAGACUCUGCUGCACCCCACCCCAUUUCUAGGGCUCCAUUCGCCUUCGAAGGGCCUUUUCAACUAUGGGCUUAGGAUGGGGCCCCAGUGGGUGGGAAGGGACAAUGCAGUGUAGUACCUCUUUCAAUAGGACAGACCUGGGUUCAAAUCCUGCCUUUGCUUCCUAAUUUCCGGAGAAGUGAUCUUGGGUAAGCCACAUGACCUUUCAGAGUCUCAAUUUGCUCCUCUUGAAAUGGGGAUAUAAUUUCAGUUUUGCAGGGGUGUGUGAGGAUAUGAUACAAGGAGAACAGCCCAGUGCCUGGCACCCUGUCAACUCCUGACAAUGGGGACAAAUAAGACCUUGAGAGGCAGGCAUGGGGUCUGCUCUUGGCCUUAUCCAGCCCUGGGGCCCUUCCCUUCAGCCCAGACCAGGUGGAACCAAGGCCCUGGGCUUGAGCCCCCUCCCUCGGAGAAGGUUGGAGUGAGCAUUCAAUCCUGAUUAGCUCCACCGGGCUCCCUCGUAACCUUUUCAUUAGGAAAUUAUGUUUAAUAGAAAUUGUUCUGACACCUCUCAGCAGCAUUUCCCUGCAAUUCAUUACCACCUCGGGGGAGGGGGGCAGGCAGCUGAGCGGCUCUUGGGCCCAGAUCCAUCGGGAGCCCUGCCCCCUCUUACCAUGUCCUCUUGUUGCCUGUGCAGGACAGAGCCUUGGUGUCCCCCACAGAGAGGCGGGGCAGCUGUUGGAGCAUAUCUGGCAGGGAACCGUGCGCUCUUAGCACCCUCCCCCGGGUCUGAUUUGGGACUAGCCAGCUGCUGCCGAUGAUGCUGGUGUGUCGGUGGCAUCCUGGAUUCUUGUUCUGUUGUCGCACUGCCCCCACAAGGGAGAGAACACAGUGGUCUCCAGCUGCUACAUUGCGGGGAGCACUGCCAUCGUCAUCGUCAUUCUCUAUCCUCUGCCACCUCUCUGUCUGCCUGCAAACUAGCCUCUCUCCCCUGCUCCCUUCCUCCCGGAGCAUCCUGGGAUGAGUCCCCUCCAGGUCUGCUUUGCUGUCAUCCCCCACCCCCCCAUUUGGUACCUGGUCCCAGGGGAGGACACAGGCUCAGGGGACCCUGGGCUGCAUCUCCCAGAAUGGGCUGUGGAUGUGGAAGCAGAGACUCGGUCGUUUCUUGGUCUCAUCCAUAAGGGCCUCUCAGGCUUUCUAUAAUAUUCCUGUCUCUGUCCUAGCUCUAGACGGGUUCUGUUUCUCACACUCAGCCUUGGGGGCCUGGGUUUUGGGCUGGGGAUGCUGAGGGAAUGUCGCUGAUGUGACAACAAGCUGGGAAAUUCUGUCACUCUCCUCCUGCUUUGGUCCCAGGCCCCAGGAGGCUGCUGUCCUUGCUUUGGUACCUUGGAUUUUCUGCCCUGUGAAAUGAACCAGGUCCUUCAUCCCAUUGCCCCCUGAAGAAGAGAGAGGGUCGGGGAGCUUGGUGCUGAAAUGGUCCCUGCUUCACGAGGCCUGGAGAGCCGAGGACCCAGCUUGGACGCCUCAGCAUCCCUCUCUGACCCGACCACUGGCGAGACACCUUACCGUUUCCCCACCCAGGAGCUGAAAUGAGCAGCAGCCUAAUCUCGCCCUGCCAUAUCACUCCAUGGUUCCAAGCAGGAGAACUGGGCUUUGAUCCCCAGGGAAGGACUGGCAGGCCUUGACCACAUGACCUCCUACAAUACUUCUGAUUCUGACAUUUUGGGCAAAGGAAGCUGGGUAACCAAGUUUCUGGUUUCUACCUUGGGAAGAUGUGACUCAUGAGCCUAGAAACUCCCAAAUUCGGCAAAAUUUUUUGUGGGAAGCCAAAUCAACCAGCACCGAACAAGAUAAAGUCCACUGCAGGGAAGGUUCGGGAGCCCUGAGUGGCCACCUUGGAUCUGGAGGUCCGCCCAGGUGUGUGGAGAAGAAGCUGAGGAUGAGACAGGGGUGUGGGUGCGAGAUGGGGAGCGGGUGCAGGAGCCCCUGUCCUUGGUGUCCUUGACUGAGUCUUGACUGCAUUCCUGCUCUUUACCACACUCCUGUGUCCCUUUUGUAAACUUCCCCUUUUAUUUAAA
This is a long non-coding RNA of Phacochoerus africanus (Common warthog), 2838 nucleotides long. RefSeq lists it as uncharacterized. NCBI's taxonomy places the organism in Eukaryota, Metazoa, Chordata, Mammalia, Artiodactyla, Suidae. The record is from RefSeq and is a predicted model, not a curated record. The transcript is spliced from 4 exons.